This is a long non-coding RNA of Hibiscus syriacus, 234 nucleotides long. RefSeq lists it as uncharacterized. The record is from RefSeq and is a predicted model, not a curated record. The transcript has 3 exons. NCBI's taxonomy places the organism in Eukaryota, Viridiplantae, Streptophyta, Magnoliopsida, Malvales, Malvaceae.
GGGCGUUCUUGUUUUAAAACUUUGAGGCCAUUGACAUAUAUUCUUUUGGCAGAGAUUGUUCAUCAUGUCAGAGGGGACCUCUCCCUCUCACAGUUGUCACGAAUUAUUUACUUGUUCUCAACUAAUAUGCAUGAUGUUUCAUUGUCACUAGGCAUUCAUACGACUUGUGCUCGUCUGAUGUUAAAUUUGGUGGAAUCAAUUUUUGAGAAGAGGGUUGAUCAGUCAUCAAUGGAU